Molecule: transfer RNA, 71 nt
Filed under: Mesorhizobium sp. RMAD-H1
Lineage: Bacteria; Pseudomonadati; Pseudomonadota; Alphaproteobacteria; Hyphomicrobiales; Phyllobacteriaceae
Description: tRNA-Ser
Source: RNAcentral
GCGAAAGUCGAAGUGGUAUGAAAAUCUGCUUCUCAGUGAGAGUACGGGUUCGAGUCCCGUCGUCCGCACCA